Molecule: long non-coding RNA, 714 nt
Organism: Leucoraja erinaceus (little skate)
Lineage: Eukaryota; Metazoa; Chordata; Chondrichthyes; Rajiformes; Rajidae
Exons: 2
Source: RefSeq, a predicted model, not a curated record
AGCAAAAGGAGUGUUUCUCCACAUCUUCUCUCCCUGUUAUUCCUCCUCAUGUCUUUAAACAAAUUAACUUGCCCGUUGUCUUCAACCGCAGGGUUGUGCCACUUCUCCCUGGAAUUUAGCAGUGGGACAGGGGCAACUCCCCAAAUCUCUGAUGCAGCAUUUGAAUUAAUCAUCUUUCUUGGGUUGCAUUACCUUGAGUUGGAUGUGGUUUGUGAGGUCAGGGGGAGGAAGUCAAACCUACAGAUUUCAGGAGAGUGCAAUUGAUACAGAGCACAGUUUGGAAGGGUAGAGGCAGGAGAUGGUUUGUAGAAUGCUGCAUCAUCGACUGAGAGCGCCCGUGGGAGAAGCUGCUGGUGUUACUGCUAAGUCAGGCACUGUGGGGUGGAGGAAAUUAAUCAACACAAACAAGAGACAUGGGUCAAUUUGUCCGUUUAAUUGUGGACAUCUUGUGCAGAUGAAUUGCUGUCUUCAUUCUCAGACUUUCUAUCCAUUUCCUGAAAUUUUAGAAUUGUUGGAUUGACUAUGGUGAUGAUAUCCUGAAGGGAAGAAUGAAAGGAAGUAAAUUAACAUUUCAUGUGUUUCUCUCCUGCGUUAUCUAUUCCUUGCACAAACUUUCUCCCUUUGCUGUAAAUGCCGAGGCAGAUGUAACCAAAUGUCUCCCUCUCCUAACUUCAGCACCAAUUGGACAAUAAAAAAGAAUGCGUAAUUAUUCAA